This is a non-coding RNA of Leptonychotes weddellii (Weddell seal), 2805 nucleotides long. The record is from RefSeq and is a predicted model, not a curated record. Lineage: Eukaryota; Metazoa; Chordata; Mammalia; Carnivora; Phocidae.
UAACAAAGCUGCCUUAAACAGUAUCUCCUCUUGACUGUAUUUCAUCAUUAUGGUCACCUGUGGCCAUCAAUGCACCUGCCCUGGUCCACUACACUCAGCUGAGCACAAGGCAUGGUCAGGUCUGUGGUGGCGUGUGGCCUGGUUGGAGAGACAGGAGGGGCACAUAAAAAGAUGGGUUCAUAAAACAAGAUAAUAUUUAAGUAAUAGAAAUAAUGGUGCUGAAGGUCAGAGGACAGGUUGAUCACUGAGGGCCAGGGGAGUUGAGAAAGGCCUUGAAAAGGUGUGACUUUAAGCUUGACCUUGAAGCUAGGAUUUACAUAAGUAUGGUAUGAGAAUAAAGGGUCCAGGGCGGAGAGGAGUGUGAUGUGUUAACAAUGAAAACUGACUAAGCUUAUUUUAUAGCAGAGAGCUGGGAGGUAGAGGGAACCUGUUAACUGACUAAUAGAACAGCCUAAGUCUCGAAACCUAGACCAGGACAAAAAAAAAGGGCACAGAUGGAUGCAAGAAAGUCUCAAAUGAAGAAUCAGCAGUCCCUGGUAGUGCCCGGUUGUCAUCUAGAGCAGAAAAAGCUGACUGACUCCUGAUCUAGGACCAUGGGACCAUUAGAAAGUCCCCCACUUUCAGAACUCAUACCCUGUCAGUAUUUCUGUUCAAGGGUGCUUCUGGAGUUUGCUGAACACAAACUAUCUGCAACAGUCUCACAUAUUAUUCAAUUCAAAUAAUAUGCUCAGAAGCCAAAAGCCAUGUUAAAGGUUGCCUCCACAGUCAGCCUCCAAAAACAAACAUUCCGGAGGCUGACAGAAAGUCUUGAGAUCAAAAUGAUUUGCAUUGAUCCAGAAAGGUCAGACCAAGGCGAUGUCCCAGGAGCCAGAAGUCAUUUCCAGCAUUGAUCACAGUUUGCACAUGUGGGACCUACUUAGAGUCAAGGCUUAUUUCGAGCAUUCUUUAAUUUAGACUUGACCCUCGGUGCAGUUCCAAAAUUGGACGAAAUGACAUGACCCAUUCUUCCAUUCUUUCUCAUCCCUUACUUUGCCUGGGCAGCCCUUACCUGUGCCUAAAACUCCUCUCAAGUGCAAUGGGUCUCAUCAGGGCGCCCUUCUUUGUCCUCCCACUAACCUGCCUUGUGCAUGACACAGGAUAGCCCGUCCCUCAUGCAUUCCUGAUGUUGCUUUUCUCGCCUGAAGUCCCCACCAUCUCUGUACCCAUCUCGUCCACCUCCUGGGUGCUCGGACACAUGGGCCAAGUGAAUGUAGUUAUUGGCUCUGCUUCUGAGAAGGUUCACACUGUUCUUAGGAUAUCUCUCCAUUGCUGCUCACUGUUUUCUCCACCUUCUCAUCCUCUGUAGCUCAUAUCUUCAUCUGUCUGGUUCCUUCUCUCAAAUAUUCUUGUUUUUAUUAGAGCACGUGUUGUCCUGUACCUAGAACUGAAACCACUCUAUUUUCACAUACCUACAACCCAGACUAGAGCCCAAAUCCCAAAGUAAUAGGAAAGCAGGUACCAUUUUGGGAGGUUUUCUCUGUGUGUGUAGAUUUCUUAAGUUAAAGACCCCCUCCCUCCCAAACAAACCCUGUAUUCACUCCCCUUUAGGUAUCUGUUGCAAAGUUGAGCAGGUGUUAAUAUUAAUCGUUUGUUAUUUAAAAUCAAACGAAGCCACUCGCAACAUGGAAGAAAUGGAAUAGCGUUUCAUUUAAUGCUUAUUCCCAGGAGCUGAGGACAGAAACUGGCGGCAGCAGCAACAGCGGAAUAUUCCAAUUCAUUCCUGCCCCAAAUGUGGAGAAGUUCUGCCCGACAUAGACACACUCCAGAUCCAUGUUAUGGACUGCAUCAUUUAAGUGUUCACAUCUCACUUCCCCCCAAACUGUUGGAGAAAGAAAAUAUGUUCUAAGUGGGACAUUUUCUGUGGAUUUCCUUAGAAUCCUGAACAUACCGCUUUUCUGAUAAUAGAUUCUUUCUUUUUUUUUUUUAUUGUUCCAUGUAUGUGGGCUGAACUGUUCAUGCAGUUAAUGAGCAUGUGACAUGGGACAGAGUAAAUAUAACCGAAGGAAGAGGCCUCACAGAUCAACUCUGAGAAUCUUUUAAGGAGGCAGGAAAAAUGAAGUGGUCACAGAUUUAAUCAAGAAAAGUAUCUUUGGAGUUUUUUUUUUAAAUAAAUUAUAUUGUUAUUUUUCUUCAUCCAUUUAAGACACGUCUAUAUGAGGUUGUGUGUAUGUUAUAGUUUUAUUGCUGCUGCAGUAAUUGUACCAAAGUUAUGAUGGGCCUGUUUUCAUACGAGUGCUGUGGGCUUUUACUUAAUCACGGGGACAAGUGAAAACAUACUGGCGUACAUGAGGAACAUACAUUAGGUUCACUGGUUUCAUUGUAGCCCCAGGUAUAUGGGUUUGUACAGUAGAUAGUUUAUUAAUUUCCCUGGAUGAGGCCAUAUAUUCAUAAUCACAAAAAUAGGUGUAUUGCAAAAUAAAAUUUUUCUUUGGAGUUGUUCACAUUGUUCAUAUAUGGUUGGCCACGUUCAUGGGAUGUUUCCCAUAUUCAGCUUCAAAUAAGCUUAAUACUUAUUCAAAUCUGUUUUGCAAAUUCUAUGAAUAUAAGCAACCCCCUUACUAAAGACUAGUAUGUGUUGUUUGAAUUAGAAAUUAAUCUUGCUAAGGAAGUGAAAAGAUAGGGAUUUGCUAUAUUUUGUAAUCCCACAGUUCACUGAGAUUAGCUAAUACUGGGCCAGUCAUAAAAGUAAACAGUGUCUUUGUGUGUCUAUAUCCUAAAACAUUUAGAAGAAAAUUAAAAGAUAUACUCUGUUUGGGUUUGUCAUAA